RNAcentral lists this unclassified non-coding RNA (5426 nucleotides) under Venturia canescens. RNAcentral's name for it is "uncharacterized LOC122409755, transcript variant X2". Lineage: Eukaryota; Metazoa; Arthropoda; Insecta; Hymenoptera; Ichneumonidae. The record is from RNAcentral.
CGAAAUACCGUGAAGUACGCGAAUGGAGAAUACUGGUAGUUCAUCGGUUCGAGGCACUCUUGCAACGAAUUAUUUUUUCAUCAAGCAAAAUCAAUUUCUUUGAGUUGGACAUUUUUUCAUGAGUUUGCUAUUCGACAGCAAUGUCGAAUUGCAUAAAAUAAUGAAUGAGUCGUGCCAAGUUCACAUGAGGUAGUGACAUAACCUGGAACAUUGCGAAUUACGCAGAUGACAAAAUUUUGAUACAAUGUCUGAAAAUGAUGCAACCCAAAGCGGGUCCAAUGGGAAACUGUCUGCGCUAUCUCCGUUGUUAUCGAAGGUACCUAAAGGCAAUUCCAAAAUAUUCAUCCUCACUCCCGAAAUCUUGCAAUCUCUCGGGAUAACAAGCCAUGCCGGAAUCAAACGAACUGCUUCUGCACCAGCGAAGAAAGAAGAUAUCGAUAAUUCAAAGACAAUAAAAUUACCUGAAGUGAAAGAUAAAGGAUCACGAAAAGAAACAGACCGCACAAAGCAAGAAACAAGUUCAAGCAGCUGUCAGUACAAAGAAGAAUCGAUCUCUAGUACCCCAAAAAUGAAGAAAGCAAGGCAAAAGAGGGCUGCUGAGACUCUUGAAAAACCACAGAUGGAUGAAAGGAGCAACAACAGGAGCAAGGAGGAUAUUAAAACAAAAUUGGAAAAUACUGCCAGUAGCUCAAGGACUACUAGACGCGUAGUCAAACCAAAGAAAUUCGAUGACUAUGUUGUGACGGAUGAUUAUCUUGCUACAACUUUACCUAAGGAUAAUUUUGUCUUCACACCACCAGCCCCUAAACGAGAACCUCGUAGAUCCUUGCCCAAUCUGAAAAAAGACAAAGCUCUAACUCAAACGUCUAAUACAGCAAACGAAAUGAAAGAAAAAGAAACGUUGGGUAAAAUAAAUCCUGUGAAACAAAAUGAAUCAAACAAAACAGUUGAGAAGAUUAAUGAGCGACAAGCGAGCUUUGGCAAACCCAGAAGUAAAUCCGCUAGUGAGAGUUCCCUUGUACUAUCCAAAACUUUAAGUUCAACUGAGACUAAAAUAAUCAGGACGUACAAGAGACGAAAUUCGCAAGAGCAAAAACAAAAUAAUGACAAGAGGGUAGAAAGUGAAAUUCCUAAAUGUACAAAAGCGCAAGAAAGCGCAGCAAACUUUAUUCGUAAAAUUCACACAUAUGCCAGUCCCAAAAUGAAGAAACAAAUUGAACAAGAAAACCAGAAGGGAAUCUCAAAAAUUCAGGAAACAAACGAAUCGGUGAUUCUGAAUAAAAUAGCAGAUCCGGAAUCGUGUCAAAAUCAAAGUGUCUUUGACAGCGAGAAUAAAAAACAUGACUCAAGCCAAAAGGUAGAGGAAAUAAAAACCUUAAAAAAAAAUGUUCCAUUGAAAAAUAAUCUAGAAUCUCCUGACAAAGUCGUAUUUAUCGAAGGAGAACAAUCAGGAAAAGGAGACAUGAUCUCCGAAGAGAAAAUGAAUGGUACCAAAGUCUGCUGCUCCUUGGAAAGUUCGGUUGUUCCUUUGUUUGAGUCAAUUGACUCACAGUCACCCGCUAUUGACACAAAUACAACGAAUGAAGCUUCUAUCGCAAAAUCAAAUCUUCCGAAAAUCCCUCGCGGAACAAAAGACAAAUGUACAAAGCCACGGGGAAUUAAAUCUUGGAAUAACGACAAAUCAAAACAUCUGGAGAAGAUUCUUUCUCCAGAAUUACCGGAGAAUAAAAAAAUCUGUCAAAGUCCCAAAAAACUUUCAGCAGAUUUUUCUAGCAAUGCGGAACAGACUCGGAUUAAGAAAGACAAAAUUAUGACCGUAGAGCCUCAGGAGAAUUCUAGUUCAAACUCGGACCUCUGCGAAGCUCAAGAGAAUAAAGAAGAAAUGAAGAAGCCGCAUAAAAUGAAAUGUUCACCUCCGUUGAAAGUGAAACCUCUUAAAAGAAUAAAAUCUCUGCCAAAAAGGAAGGAAAUAAUUUCGAAAUCUAAUAUUGAAAAAUAUUUAGAUAAACAUGAAGCGAGUGGUUCUAAAUUAGAUGAAUCAAAAUCACGUUCCAAGGAUGAAACAAAAAAUACAAAGCGCCGUUCAUUGAAGUCUCGGCCUGAGGAUCACGUUACAAUUUCUGAGCCUAAGACAGGAUUACUAACAGAUAAAAAAAAAAUUAUAGAUUUUAAUCUCGUUCCGGACACCUCGGGCACAGAUAAAAUGAUUUAUUCGGGCAAAACACCAGAUGUUUCCAAUACUGCGGAGGUUAUGUCCGAGGCUCACAAACUUGCAGAAACAAAUGACAAUAAAAAUAUCAGAAAGAAUGCGUCAAAAUUUCCGCAAGGGGCUAAAGUUCUCGAUCAGAAUAAACGAAUUUCUUCGAGCUCCACUGUACCGAAACGAACGAAUGAAAAGAGAAAAAAUAAUUCAAAGAAUCACGAAAGCCCGAAGGAAAAAGACAAAAUCCGUAAACUGUAUUCCACGCCCAUUUCUGCUAAAGAAAAUGAAGCAAUCAGUUUGGAAGGAACAUCCAAAGAUCCACACCACAUUGAAAUAUCUGCUGAUAAGGUUACGAUUCAACCGGAGCUGGAUACGCCAAUUUGCCCGGACAAAGAUGAGGUGGUAGCUUCGAAGUCCGAUUCGACCUUCUCUAACGAAAAGGCAAUAAUUUUAACGAAUUCUCAUGAAUCGGAAUUUUCGGAUGUAGAAUAUCAACAAAGAUUAUCCGAACAUGCAACGAACACAGGAAAAGACUCCACACCGCUUCCUGAAAUCGUCUCCGGUAUCGAAAAUCCAUCGAGUAAUACUGCAGACUGUAACAUCGAAGAAAUCGGUUCUACUGGUUUUUUGGAAUUAGCAAAUGAGAGUUCGCGAACCGACCUGAAUCCCGAAGCAAAUGAAUCGCCGGACGGACCGAAAGUUUCACGAAAAAGAGGAAGACCAAGGAAGUCAGAAACUCCAAAACAAGUUCCAGUGGAAACAAGCAUCGAAGUGGAAAAAGUGAAUAUCCAGGACACCAAGGAAAUAGUAGCUGGAGCUGCUGAGGAAAAUAUCGGUCGCGUUAAGAAACCUGUACAACGAGACAUCAACGAAAUCGAUGGAAAAGGUUUAAGCGAUGGAAGCGACGAUGAGUCCACGACGGAGGAAACUAUUUCAAGACGUCGCCGAGGACGACCUACUGGUUCAAUACCGUACAGCAGGACCAGAGGACGUGGAAGAGGCCGUGGUCGAGGUCGGGGUCGAGGUCGUGGACCCACAGAUUCUGAAUAUAUUCCUAGAGAACGACCGUCUCGGGAUCAAAAAGCUGUUGACAAAAGUACCAAGGAGCUUGAUGUAGUCGACGAUUCGCAAAAAUCUCAAAUGAUUCCUCCGUCUGUAGAAGUCGAAUGUGGCAAGUGUAAAGAAAAAAUGCCAAAAAAGUCUUGGCCCCUACACAACUUGAUGACUCACAAUGACAUGGGUUGGCUGAGUGGUCAACCAGAACCGGACUUUACGGAUGAGAAAUUUCUCCGUUCCGUCUUGGCAGCAGUGGUGCGAAAGAAGAAAGGCAAAGGGUUUUUCACGUGCGAGUUGUGCGGCGAUAUGAAACGUAGUGCCAUCGGUUUCAUUUCGCAUUUACAGUUUUGCGGAAAAACGGAAGAUGAAAAAACGGCACUUAUGGUGAAAUGCCCAACAUGCGGGAACGUAAUGAUGUCAUCUUCGUGGCCGAUGCACGAACGAUAUCACCGACAACUGAUGAAAGCCAAAGAUGAGUUGACGGUAGAAGCCAAAGAGAGUCCCGGGCCUCGCAGAGGAAAGCGCAAAGCAGCUGAAAAAGCAGCGACUAAAAUUACCGAAUUCACGGAUCUCAUCAAAGAAGACGAACCACCCACUAAAAGACAGAAACUGAAGAUCGAAGAGAUCAGUCGUUUCAUAUCCCGACCCCGAGAUACGAGGAAUCCUCCGAAUCGAUGGAGAGGCUUAUGGAAAGUGGAUUUGAGUACGAAAGGAAAAACGAAUUGUCGACAACCCGGUUGCAAUUUUGUCACUGACACGCUAAAAUCGAUGUUCGAGCACAAUUCUAAUUGUCCCCAUGUUCCACGUGUGAAUUACUCGUGCAGAAUUUGCAAAUAUUUUCACGAGAAUGAGAAGGAAGUAAUGAAACACGUAAGAUCGAAUCACGCCGAGGGUAAAACUCUUCAGGUCGAUUCCGAUUUCGAGCACAACGAUACCUCCAAUUCCAGUGAUGACGACUCUGAACCAGCAGAUGAUAAGCCACCCAAAGCCAGUUCGACCCAAAAUCGGAGUGGAUCCAAUAGACACAAGCGUCCCCUUACACACAUCAAGUUUCUAGACAAGGAGGUAUCUGUGGAUCAAAAACGAUACUUCACACCAGCCAUUCGUUGGACGAUGGAAUUCGAACGUAAAAACUACCGUUUGAAGUUGUUUGAAAAUUUAUUACCCAAUCCAAUGGAGCGCCUGAGGGAGGAAGAUGCGCAAGUAUAUUUGCCGGAACUCGAAACUUCGAUGCGAGUUGGGGAAACAGCGAAACGAGGAAAUGAAAAAUCGAUCGAGUGGACAAGAUUUCAACGAUUUCAGGGAAAAACAAACGACGGAAUUCUCACGCUCUUCGCGGGUGGUCCUGUUUGGGCGAUUGCUUGGUUGACGAUUCCAGUGACUGUGUACAAUGAAGAAGUUGAUCAAUACGUUGCUAUUAGUACACAUCCGACCAUGGAGAGUGCUUACACCGUGGGGAAAUCCCAUGCUGAGAAAAAUCUCAUUCAAAUAUGGUCCGUUGGCCACUUGGAUCAUCGAAAAGGAAUGAAACACUCGGAUCCGCGUUUCGCCUAUGGAGUAGCGCACGAUAAAGGAACGAUUUGGUGCCUCGAAUGGUGUCCUUCCGGUUGCUACGACCACCCGAGCUUUCACAACAACAAACAAGAGAAGCAACAGAGCGAGGGUCCAAAAAGGAUGGGCCUGUUAGCUGCUGCAUGCUCAGAUGGCUGCGUCCACAUAUUUUCUCUCCCUUUUCCCAGUUGCCUUAAUUCUGACAAUACCGAUGGGAUUCAGGAAGCUUCACCCAUUUACAAAACAAAGCCUGUCCUGACCCUGUUAACAAAUACCGCGAUGUACGAAAGUGGGGAACAGACGUGGCAAUGCACGAAACUCAAUUGGAGCAAAGAGCUGGGGCACGAUUGUUCAUCUCAUUCCUUAUGGGCACAAGAGAUUCUGCGUUUCUUCGAGUUACGACCGAUUCACCAAAGUUUGGGAUCUUGAAGAUACGUCUUAUCCCCUGAGCACGAUCAAAAGAGGAAUUGCCAUGGAUGGUGCUUGGUUGACCCAUUGGCCCGGAUAUCUCACCGCUUACGAUGACGUGAUUGUUCAUGGUCACACAUAUUACAUCUUAUUGAGACAAUCAGCAGUCAGGAUUUUUCCUCUCUUGCCUAGCAAUUCAGCGACUUUC